UACGAGUGCGUCGAGCGUUAUCCGGAAUUACUGGGCGUAAAGAGUGUGUAGGCGGUGCUCUAAGUUCGGUGUGAAAUCUCCUGGCUCAACUGGGAGGGUGCGCCGGAAACUGGAGUGCUUGAGCGUGGGAGAGGAAAGCGGAAUUCCUGGUGUAGCGGUGAAAUGCGUAGAUAUCAGGAGGAACACCUGUGGUGUAGACGGCUUUCUGGACCAUAGCUGACGCUGAGACACGAAAGCGUGGGUAGCAAACAGG
This 253-nucleotide ribosomal RNA is filed under the name uncultured bacterium. RNAcentral's name for it is "partial 16S ribosomal RNA". It matches the Rfam family "Bacterial small subunit ribosomal RNA", at positions 524 to 776 of the family's 1533-position model. The record is from RNAcentral.